RNAcentral lists this ribosomal RNA (189 nucleotides) under Trigonopterus sp. 4 AH-2016. RNAcentral's name for it is "partial 12S ribosomal RNA". It matches the Rfam family "Microsporidia small subunit ribosomal RNA", at positions 1074 to 1311 of the family's 1311-position model. Lineage: Eukaryota; Metazoa; Arthropoda; Insecta; Coleoptera; Curculionidae. The record is from RNAcentral.
UGGGUUACAAUAAAUUUAUUUAAGCGGAUAGAAGCUUGAAAUUACUCUUGAAGGUGGAUUUGAAAGUAAUUUUAAAUAUAUAUUUAAAAUGAUUUUAGCUCUAAAAUAUGCACAUAUCGCCCGUCGCUUUCAUAUAAGGUGAAAUAAGUCGUAACAAAGUAGAUGUACUGGAAAGUGUCUCUAGAAAGA